This 468-nucleotide ribosomal RNA is filed under the name uncultured bacterium. RNAcentral's name for it is "partial 16S ribosomal RNA". It matches the Rfam family "Bacterial small subunit ribosomal RNA", at positions 28 to 507 of the family's 1533-position model. The record is from RNAcentral.
GACGAACGCUGGCGGCGUGCUUAACACAUGCAAGUCGAACGGAAAGGCCCUGCUUUUGUGGGGUGCUCGAGUGGCGAACGGGUGAGUAACACGUGAGUAACCUGCCCUUGACUUUGGGAUAACUUCAGGAAACUGGGGCUAAUACCGGAUAGGAGCUCCUGCUGCAUGGUGGGGGUUGGAAAGUUUCGGCGGUUGGGGAUGGACUCGCGGCUUAUCAGCUUGUUGGUGGGGUAGUGGCUUACCAAGGCUUUGACGGGUAGCCGGCCUGAGAGGGUGACCGGCCACAUUGGGACUGAGAUACGGCCCAGACUCCUACGGGAGGCAGCAGUGGGGAAUAUUGCACAAUGGGCGGAAGCCUGAUGCAGCAACGCCGCGUGCGGGAUGACGGCCUUCGGGUUGUAGACCGCUUUCGCCUGUGACGAAGCGUGAGUGACGGUAAUGGAUAAAGAAGCACCGGCUAACUACGUG